GCCCGUAUAACUCAGUGGUAGAGUACCUCCUUGGUAAGGAGGAAGUCACGAGUUCAAAUCUCGUUACGGGCU
RNAcentral lists this transfer RNA (72 nucleotides) under Oscillatoriales cyanobacterium. RNAcentral's name for it is "tRNA-Thr". It matches the Rfam family "tRNA". Rfam says of the family: Transfer RNA (tRNA) molecules are approximately 80 nucleotides in length. Their secondary structure includes four short double-helical elements and three loops (D, anti-codon, and T loops). The record is from RNAcentral. Lineage: Bacteria; Bacillati; Cyanobacteriota; Cyanophyceae; Oscillatoriales. RNAcentral also lists the same sequence under 7 other names.